UUAUGGCUCAGGAUGAAACGCUAGCUACAGGCUUAACACAUGCAAGGUCGAGGGGUAGCAGGGUAGCAAUACCGCUGACGACCGGCGCACGGGUGAGUAACACGUAUCCAACUUCCCAUAACUCAGGGAUAGCCUUUCGAAAGAAAGAUUAAUACCUGAUAGUACUUUUUCAAGGCAUCUUGAAAAAAGUUAAGAUUUAUUGGUUAUGGAUGGGAUGCGUUCCAUUAGAUAGUUGGUGAGGUAACGGCUCACCAAGUCUUCGAUGGAUAGGGGUUCUGAGAGGAAGGUCCCCCACAUUGGUACUGAGACACGGACCAAACUCCUACGGGAGGCAGCAGUGAGGAAUAUUGGUCAAUGGGCGAGAGCCUGAACCAGCCAAGUAGCGUGAAAAGGAUGAAGGUCCUAUGGAUUGUAAACUUCUUUUAUAGUAGAAUAAAGUGAGCCACGUGUGGUUUUUUGUAUGUAUACUAUGAAUAAGGAUCGGCUAACUCCGUGCCAGCCGCCGC
RNAcentral lists this ribosomal RNA (506 nucleotides) under uncultured bacterium. Its description in RNAcentral is "bacterial SSU rRNA". It matches the Rfam family "Bacterial small subunit ribosomal RNA", at positions 17 to 518 of the family's 1533-position model. The record is from RNAcentral.